This 253-nucleotide ribosomal RNA is filed under the name uncultured bacterium. RNAcentral's name for it is "partial 16S ribosomal RNA". It matches the Rfam family "Bacterial small subunit ribosomal RNA", at positions 524 to 776 of the family's 1533-position model. The record is from RNAcentral.
UACAGAGGGGGCAAGCGUUGUUCGGAAUUACUGGGCGUAAAGGGCGCGUAGGCGGCCCGCUAAGUCGAACGUGAAAUCCCCGAGCUCAACUCGGGAACUGCGUCCGAUACUGGUGGGCUUGAAUCCGGGAGAGGGAUGUGGAAUUCCCGGUGUAGCGGUGAAAUGCGUAGAUAUCGGGAGGAACAUCAGUGGCGAAGGCGGCUACCUGGCCCAAUACUGACACUCAGGUGCGACAGCGUGGGGAGCAAACAGG